Small nuclear RNA from Eptesicus fuscus (big brown bat), 105 nucleotides. Lineage: Eukaryota; Metazoa; Chordata; Mammalia; Chiroptera; Vespertilionidae. The record is from RefSeq and is a predicted model, not a curated record.
UGCCUGGGUUGUGGGUUCCAUCCCCAGUGUGGAACGAUAUAGAGAAGAUUAGCAUGGCACCUGUGCAAGGAUGACACACAAACUCGUAAAGCGUUCCAUAUUUUA